This 406-nucleotide ribosomal RNA is filed under the name uncultured bacterium. RNAcentral describes it as "partial 16S ribosomal RNA". It matches the Rfam family "Bacterial small subunit ribosomal RNA", at positions 30 to 526 of the family's 1533-position model. The record is from RNAcentral.
AUUGAACGCUGGCGGCAGGCCUAACACAUGCAAGUCGAACGAGUGGCGGACGGGUGAGUAAUGUCUGGAAAACUGCCCGAUGGAGGGGGAUAACUACUGGAAACGGUAGCUAAUACCGCAUACCAUCGGAUGUGCCCAGAUGGGAUUAGCGAGUGGGUGGGGUAACGGAUCACCUAGGCGACGAUCCCUAGCUGGUCUGAGAGGUUGACCAUCCACACGGGAACUGAGACACGUUCCAGACUCCGACGGGAGGAAGCAGUGGGGAAUAUUGCACAAUGGGCGCAAGCCUGACGCAGCCAUGCCGCGUGUGUGAAGAAGGCCUUCGGGUUGUAAAGUACUUUCAGCUGGGAAGCGUUACUCACACAAGAAGCACCGGCUAACUCCGUGCCAGCAGCCGCGGUAAUAC